Esox lucius (northern pike) is the source of this 119-nucleotide ribosomal RNA. The record is from Ensembl. NCBI's taxonomy places the organism in Eukaryota, Metazoa, Chordata, Actinopteri, Esociformes, Esocidae.
GCUUACGGCCACACCUCCCUGAGCACGCCCAAUCUUCUCUGAUCUGGGAAGCUAAGCAAGGUCGUGCCCGCAUUGUCCUUGGAUGGGAGACCGCCUGGGAAUACCAGGUGCUGUAAGCC